CUAGAAUCUUUCAUGGAGGCCCCAUGAUUGAUACAGAGGACUGUCAUAUGAACCAGAGAGGGUAAUUGAAACCAAAGAAAGGCCUCUGGUGUGUAGCCAAAGGCAUGCCACCAGGGGUGAGAAGGAGCAGAUGUCUUGACAAACAGGGCAUGAGACCAGCUGUGCGUGGUCAGCCUCUGAUUUGGGCCCAAAAGGAAAAGAAAUUCAGAGGAGACAGUGACUCUCAGACUCUCCCUUGUUAAUGAGCAAGAGUUCCCUGGAUCCAAGAGGCCUUUGCCUUCUGGCUUGCAGCCUCACAUUUGCAAGGUGGCUGCUGCACAUCUAACCUUUAUAUCCACAUUCCAGGCAGGAAUAAUGGGAAAGAAUAAGAGUAAGUGACUUUCUCCUAGUGAGGCUUUGCUGUUUGUUCAGAAAGGCAUGUUUUCCUUAUCAUUGGUCAAAUGAGAAAGUUGAGAAAUUGAAAAAUUGAGCUUCUUAGCCUUUUUGACAAAGGAGGUCAAGGGCAUGGGGAAUUGUGGAUUGUGUAGGGGUAUGAAGUCCAUAGGGUCUGCCACAGUGUGUCACCCCAGAAAAACACACACAUACACAUAAACAGCUUUGCCAGGUAAUUCCAGGGAGUUUCUCUAAGUGGGGAGUGUGAGGUCAGCCACUCAGUAGGGCCAAACUGAAAGAGAGCAGCUCCCAUGGAUUCUCAGCUCGGCCCAAAGCCAGGGAGCUUUGAGAGAAGCAAUUUGUGGGGAGAAGAUAGAAGUCAAAAGAUACAGUGAAACUCUAUGAGUGGGAGGGUAGAGAAAGCAGAGUGGCAUUGAAGGGUAUAAGCACCAGACAUGGUACUAACAGUGAAAAAGACAUACAGUGGUGAAGAGAGGGGGAGAGAAUGAUACAGCAAUACCACAGUGGGGAAAAGAGAAACUCUUGUAAGCAUCUGAAGUUUAAGGGAGUAUGCUGCUCUAGAGGACCAGAAGUCAGCUCUCCAGUGGUGGUGGUGAUGGAGGACAUCAUUCAGUGAAAAGUUGGACCAAGUUCUAUGAACUGUGGAGUCACAAGACAUUCAUUGUGGUGUUCAGGGGUGUUCUCCAGAAGGUCUGGUGACUUGGACAUUUGAAGUCUGAUAGGGAACAGUCCAGCAAGAUAGAAGUCAGCUCUGCAGAAGGCUGAAACAUGGUGAUAAAUUAGAGUUUAUAAAU
This 1187-nucleotide long non-coding RNA is filed under the name Bos indicus x Bos taurus (hybrid cattle). Its description in RNAcentral is "lncRNA (ENSBIXG00005018615.1)". The record is from RNAcentral. Lineage: Eukaryota; Metazoa; Chordata; Mammalia; Artiodactyla; Bovidae.